UACCCACGCAAUGGGAGUGCGAAUCUCGAAAGCCUGUCUCAGUUCGGAUUGGAGGCUGAAACCCGCCCUCCAUGAAGUUGGAUUCGCUAGUAAUCGCGCAUCAGCCAUGGCGCGGUGAAUACGUUCCCGGGCCUUGUACACACCGCCCCGUCAAGCCAUGGGAGCCGGGGGGUGCCUGAAGUGCGUGACCGUAAAAGGAGCGCCCUAGGGCAAGACCGGUGACUGGGGCUAAGUCGUAACAAGGUACC
This 248-nucleotide ribosomal RNA is filed under the name uncultured bacterium. Its description in RNAcentral is "partial 16S ribosomal RNA". It matches the Rfam family "Bacterial small subunit ribosomal RNA", at positions 1252 to 1500 of the family's 1533-position model. The record is from RNAcentral.